UCUCCGUAGGUGAACCUGCGGAGGGAUCAUUACUGAGUGAGGGCCUUCGGGCUCGACCUCCAAACCUUUGUGAACCAAACUUGUUGCUUCGGGGGCUACCCUGCCGCUUCGGCGGUGCGGCGCCCCCGGAGGCCAUUAAACACUGCAUCAUUGCGUCGGAGUUAAAGUAAAUUAAACAAAACUUUCACCACCGGAUCUCUUGGUUCCAGCAUCGAUGAAGAACGCAGC
This 228-nucleotide unclassified non-coding RNA is filed under the name uncultured fungus. RNAcentral's name for it is "sequence contains ITS1, 5.8S rRNA gene". The stretch from base 180 to 228 matches the Rfam family "5.8S ribosomal RNA", at positions 1 to 49 of the family's 154-position model. The record is from RNAcentral. Lineage: Eukaryota; Fungi.